UACGUAGGGUGCAAGCGUUGUCCGGAAUUAUUGGGCGUAAAGAGCUCGUAGGCGGUUUGUCGCGUCUGCUGUGAAAACGCGAGGCUCAACCUCGCGCCUGCAGUGGGUACGGGCAGACUAGAGUGCGGUAGGGGAGAUUGGAAUUCCUGGUGUAGCGGUGGAAUGCGCAGAUAUCAGGAGGAACACCGAUGGCGAAGGCAGAUCUCUGGGCCGUAACUGACGCUGAGGAGACGAAAGCGUGGGGAGCGAACAGG
This 254-nucleotide ribosomal RNA is filed under the name uncultured bacterium. RNAcentral describes it as "partial 16S ribosomal RNA". It matches the Rfam family "Bacterial small subunit ribosomal RNA", at positions 524 to 776 of the family's 1533-position model. The record is from RNAcentral.